RNAcentral lists this long non-coding RNA (369 nucleotides) under Hordeum vulgare. RNAcentral describes it as "long non-coding RNA (HVUL_LNC020502)". Lineage: Eukaryota; Viridiplantae; Streptophyta; Magnoliopsida; Poales; Poaceae. The record is from RNAcentral.
UGGAAUGUUGCAAACUUGACAUAAUCCUCUGGAUGCACAUUGCUACACUCGAAAUGCUUGUUCAUAUCACGGAUCCAAUCUUCCGCGUCAAACGGCUGGUCGCAAGAAGUGAACGUCCUAGGCUGGUUUGACAGGAACUGACUCAGACUGGCGAAGUGAUUGCCACCCUGCUGGAAAUUGCCUUGCUGAUGAUUGGCUCUCUCCUGGAUCAACUGCAACAGCAUCUGAGUAUUUGCAUUGGUAGCUGCCAUCAUCGCCUGCCAGGCCUCUGCAGGAGGAGGCGGCGGUGGUGGCGGAGGAGGAGGUGGAGGAGGCAUAUCCUCACGCGCUGGGGUCUGACGAGUUGGUGGAGCCAUCCUGAAGACGGAC